GCAUAGCUUUACACAUGCAAGUCGGACGGUCAGCACAGANAAGCUUGCUUCUUGGGUGGCGAGUGGCGAACGGGUGAGUAAUAUAUUGGAACGUACCGAGUAAUGGGGGAUAACUUGCCGAAAGGUAAGCUAAUACCGCAUACGCUCUGAGGAGGAAAGCAGGGGACCUUCGGGCCUUGCGUUAUUCGAGCGGCCAAUAUCUGAUUAGCUAGUUGGUGGGGUAAAGGCCUACCAAGGCGACGAUCAGUAGCGGGUCUGAGAGGAUGAUCCGCCACACUGGGACUGAGACACGGCCCAGACUCCUACGGGAGGCAGCAGUGGGGAAUUUUGGACAAUGGGCGCAAGCUCUGAUCCAGCCAUGCCGCGUGUCUGAAAAAAAGGCCCUUCGGGUUGUAAAGGACUUUUGUCAGGG
RNAcentral lists this ribosomal RNA (412 nucleotides) under Neisseria weaveri. Its description in RNAcentral is "bacterial SSU rRNA". It matches the Rfam family "Bacterial small subunit ribosomal RNA", at positions 42 to 444 of the family's 1533-position model. Lineage: Bacteria; Pseudomonadati; Pseudomonadota; Betaproteobacteria; Neisseriales; Neisseriaceae. The record is from RNAcentral.